AUAGGUAGUUCAUCUCCUUCUAAGAAAAAUAUCCAAAGUUUUCAUUUUUGAUCGAAUUCCGUCUAGUAAGCCUCGAGAUCUUACAGAUGCUGUUGAGAAUCGUCAUUAACCAAUCAUGUAUCGGACGCACCAUCCCUUGAAGUAAGUAAAGGGCGCAAAGAUGCGGAUUUGACCCGCACCCUCUUUCUUUUUCUUUAAAUAAAGA
RNAcentral lists this long non-coding RNA (205 nucleotides) under Nicotiana benthamiana. RNAcentral's name for it is "long non-coding RNA (NBEN_LNC021037)". The record is from RNAcentral. Lineage: Eukaryota; Viridiplantae; Streptophyta; Magnoliopsida; Solanales; Solanaceae.